RNAcentral lists this ribosomal RNA (301 nucleotides) under uncultured bacterium. Its description in RNAcentral is "partial 16S ribosomal RNA". It matches the Rfam family "Bacterial small subunit ribosomal RNA", at positions 509 to 807 of the family's 1533-position model. The record is from RNAcentral.
CAGUCGCCGCGGGAAUACGUAGGUGGCAAGCGUUGUCCGGAUUUAUUGGGCGUAAAGCGAGCGCAGGCGGUUUCUUAAGUCUGAUGUGAAAGCCCCCGGCUCAACCGGGGAGGGUCAUUGGAAACUGGGAAACUUGAGUGCAGAAGAGGAGAGUGGAAUUCCAUGUGUAGCGGUGAAAUGCGUAGAUAUAUGGAGGAACACCAGUGGCGAAGGCGGCUCUCUGGUCUGUAACUGACGCUGAGGCUCGAAAGCGUGGGGAGCAAACAGGAUUAGAUACCCCAGUAGUCCCUGUCUCUUAUAC